RNAcentral lists this ribosomal RNA (410 nucleotides) under uncultured bacterium. Its description in RNAcentral is "bacterial SSU rRNA". It matches the Rfam family "Bacterial small subunit ribosomal RNA", at positions 1126 to 1533 of the family's 1533-position model. The record is from RNAcentral.
UAAUGGUGGGGACUCUAGUCAGACUGCCUACGCAAGUAGUGAGGAAGGUGGGGACGACGUCAAGUCAUCAUGGCCCUUACGUCCAGGGCUGCACACGUGCUACAAUGGUCAGUACAGAGGGCUGCCACCUGGUGACAGGGAGCAAAUCCUUAAAGCUGGCCUCAGUUCAGAUUGUAGUCUGCAACUCGACUACAUGAAGUUGGAAUCGCUAGUAAUCGCGUAUCAGCUACGACGCGGUGAAUACGUUCCCGGGCCUUGUACACACCGCCCGUCAAGCGAUGGAAGUGAGGAGUACCUAACGUCGCCGUGCCAACCGUAAGGAGGCAGGUGCCUAGGGUAAGCUUCAUAACUGGCGCUAAGUCGUAACAAGGUAGCCGUACCGGAAGGUGCGGCUGGAUCACCUCCUUUCU